RNAcentral lists this ribosomal RNA (274 nucleotides) under uncultured bacterium. RNAcentral describes it as "partial 16S ribosomal RNA". It matches the Rfam family "Bacterial small subunit ribosomal RNA", at positions 523 to 796 of the family's 1533-position model. The record is from RNAcentral.
AUACGGAGGGAGCAAGCGUUAUUCGGAAUCACUGGGCGUAAAGGACGCGUAGGCGGGUUUGUAAGUCAGGUGUGAAAUCCUACAGCUCAACUGUAGAACUGCACUUGAAACUGCAGACCUAGAGUAUGGAAGGGGCAGAUGGAAUUAGUGGUGUAGGGGUAAAAUCCGUAGAUAUCACUAGGAAUACCGAAAGCGAAGGCGAUCUGCUGGGACAUUACUGACGCUGAGGCGUGAAAGCGUGGGGAGCAAACAGGAUUAGAAACCCUAGUAGUCC